This is an RNA transcript of Argiope bruennichi, 1761 nucleotides long. It is a transcript of the gene named RNA-binding protein 48-like, with no coding region annotated. Lineage: Eukaryota; Metazoa; Arthropoda; Arachnida; Araneae; Araneidae. The transcript is spliced from 7 exons. The record is from RefSeq and is a predicted model, not a curated record.
UCGUAAAUUAAUGUAAACAAAACUCUUUCGCUGGCUAAAAAUUUACAACUCAUAAUUUAAAGGAACAUUUUGUUGGAUUUUUUUUUUUUAUCUAUUGCUGUUUUGUUACAGCUCAAUUUUAUGCAAUAUGGAACCAGUUUAUUCAUUUAAAUCUAUAUCUGUGUAUCCUCAUCAUGUGAAACAAAAUAUAUGUGGAACUCGUGCAAAGUACCGAGACGGUAAAAAAGAUACUGCCGUAAAGGUUUAUACUAUAAAUCAAGAAUCUGUAUACCUUUUGAUUAGUAAUGUUCCAGCUGUUGGUGGAGCCGAGGAGCUACAAGCUCUUUGUGAUCAGUAUGGAACAGUGGAAGACUUCAGACCUUUAGAUGAAUAUCCUUGUGAAGAAUUCACUGAAGUUUAUUUAGUGAAAUAUAACUUAUUUCCAGCUGCAAGGAUUGCAAAAAAACAUUUAGAUGAUAGAUCAUUUCUUGGCAGUACCCUGCAUGUUUGUUAUGCACCAGAAUUUGAAACAAUUUCAGAGACACGAUUAAAGUUACAAGAAAGAAGAAAAUAUGUUGCUUGGAAAACUAAAACAGGAAAAAAUAAUACAAAUGCUGCUAAUGAACACAAACGUAAUGCUUCUAGCAGCCAAGUUCAAAGAAAUCAGCUAUCCAAUAUCCCUUCAUUGCAACCUGUUACUUAUAUUUGGGCUGGAAAAGAAUACACUGAAUACCCUGUGCCUCCUUUGGAAAACUUACCUGUGCAAAAUAGAGAAAGAAUUACAUCAAGUUCAUUCGUUCCUCACCAGGUUCGGUCAAAUCAACCACUAGCUUGGAACUCUGCAGGAAGCAGUGCUUCUUCACAAUCUGAUCUAAGAUCUGCUCCUCAAAGUCAAUUGCCUUACAAAGCUGAUUCUUCAUAUCAGAAAACCAUUUCUGAUGUGAGAAAAAGAGUUGCACAGGUGUCUGUUCCUAAUGUGAGAGUUAGCUUGAAAAGAAGGAAGAGACUAUGAUUAUGGGCAGUUUGCCUUAAUUUGUCAGGAUACUUAGCUCAAAAUCACUUUCCGAUUCCUCAUUUUUUGAUGGAAAUACACUUUUGGAGGAAGCACCAACAGUUCCUAUUACUAAUUACAGCUGCAGAUUCUGUACUUUUGUUUACACCAACAAGAGAGCUCUUAUUAAACAUGAGAGCACACAUUAUCCAGAGAAAAUUCCAUUCAGCUGUCCUUCUUGUCCAAAAGUUUUUCGAGAAAAAUAUCAGUUGCAAAGCCACCUAUACACUCACGAUUCUGCUCGACAUUUCAAAUGCAUUUUUUGUGGCCGUACAUUUCGUCACAGUAGCAGUCUUGCUAGACACAAGCGUUCUCAUCGCUUGGCUCUUCAAAAUCAUAAUCAUUAGGACUGUUUUUCUUGUGACUGCAGCUACUAAAAGACUAUUUUGUGGUGAAAAAAAAUGUCAAGAUAAGAUUUUUUUAAAAAACUUUUUUAGAUACAUGUUCAAAUACUGCUUUGGUUAUUGGAAUAUUUUUCAUUAAAAAUGAUAUUUGUCAUUACAACUGGGAUUUUAAAUUGAAAUUCAUAUAUUAAUCUGAUUUUUUUCCUUACUAUUGUAAGAUGUAAACCAAUCAUAGUACUUCAAAAUAUAUAGAGAGUGAGAACUUGAUGUAAAAAAUAAUUAUCUUUUAAAGUAUUGACUAUCUUUAAUUUUCUUCAUUAUUUAUAUAAGGAAAAACUUUUUUUUUAGGAUUAAGAAUGCAUUCGUAUGUGAUAUUUUAUCUUAUAU